Molecule: long non-coding RNA, 223 nt
Organism: Juglans microcarpa x Juglans regia
Lineage: Eukaryota; Viridiplantae; Streptophyta; Magnoliopsida; Fagales; Juglandaceae
Exons: 2
Source: RefSeq, a predicted model, not a curated record
GAGAGUGGCAAAUUGUGGAUGCAUGACUUGCUACAAGAUAUGGGUAGAGAAAUUGUUCGACAAGAAUCACCUAAAGAACCUGGCAAACGUAGCAGGUUAUGGUUUCAUGAAGAUGUUCGUUCUGUACUAGAAGAAAAUACGGUAACAAACGAAAUUGAAGGGAUAUUGAUAGAUUUGCCAGAACGAGACUUGAUAUGCUUAGGUUCCAAAGCAUUCAUGAAGA